This 285-nucleotide unclassified non-coding RNA is filed under the name uncultured fungus. RNAcentral describes it as "sequence contains ITS2". Lineage: Eukaryota; Fungi. The record is from RNAcentral.
AACGCACCUUGCGCCCUUUGGUAUUCCGAUGGGCAUGCCUGUUCGAGUGUCUUGAAUUCAUCGCCGCCUCCGGUUUUGCGACCGGCUGGCGGCGGACUUGGGGGUCUGCCGCGGCAACGCGGCUCCCUUUGAAUGUAUCGGUGGGGUCUCCGAGCACCCACGGGCGUUGUAUUGUCCUCGUCCGACCGGGCCUCGCGUCCCCCGCCUCGACCUGCCGUCUGAGCGGCGGUCAAGCACACUUUGAAAUCUGACCUCGAAUCAGGUAGGACUACCCGCUGAACUUAA